This 443-nucleotide ribosomal RNA is filed under the name uncultured bacterium. RNAcentral describes it as "partial 16S ribosomal RNA". It matches the Rfam family "Bacterial small subunit ribosomal RNA", at positions 338 to 795 of the family's 1533-position model. The record is from RNAcentral.
CCUACGGGAGGCAGCAGUGGGGAAUAUUGGGCAAUGGGCGCAAGCCUGACCCAGCAACGCCGCGUGAAGGAAGAAGGCUUUCGGGUUGUAAACUUCUUUUCUGAGGGACGAAGAAAGUGACGGUACCUCAGGAAUAAGCCACGGCUAACUACGUGCCAGAAGCAGCGGUAAUACGUAGGUGGCAAGCGUUAUCCGGAUUUAUUGGGUGGAAAGGGCGUGUAGGCGGGAAAGCAAGUCAGAUGUGAAAACUCAGGGCUGAACCCUGAGCCUGCAUUUGAAACUGUUUUUCUUGGGUGCUGGAGAGGCAAUCGGAAUUCCGUGUGUAGCGGUGACAUGCGUAGAUAUACGGAGGAACACCAGUGGCGAAGGCGGAUUGCUGGACAGUAACUGACGCUGAGGCGCGAAAGCGUGGGGAGCAAACAGGAUUAGAUACCCUGGUAGUC